GGGUAAAUUAGGUUAAUUUCGAAUUUUUUUUGGUGGUUACGAGGUCAGUCAAAUUUAUCGAUCCUAUUUUGAGAUAGGGCAGAGAAAAUAACAGAUAAACUAUAAAGUUUUACUG
Molecule: long non-coding RNA, 115 nt
Organism: Limulus polyphemus (Atlantic horseshoe crab)
Lineage: Eukaryota; Metazoa; Arthropoda; Merostomata; Xiphosura; Limulidae
Exons: 2
Source: RefSeq, a predicted model, not a curated record